Molecule: long non-coding RNA, 219 nt
Organism: Juglans microcarpa x Juglans regia
Lineage: Eukaryota; Viridiplantae; Streptophyta; Magnoliopsida; Fagales; Juglandaceae
Exons: 3
Source: RefSeq, a predicted model, not a curated record
CCUUUAAAAAUCGCACAACAGGGCGGAAGGAGAGAAAUAGUCAUUCCUGGCCCACUGAGUUGACUGGACCUUGAUCGGUGUUGUUUGGAAUCCCCGUCAGUAUUCCGGUGCGGCUAUACGGUGGCGAUGCAUUUGUCCAUGGCAGUGGAUAGAACAUAAGUGGCUAAGGUGGAGAAAAGCAAUACAUAUAAAGGUGUGCUGAAUUGCCGGAAGAGAUAU